CCAGCGCGAGCCCGGAGCAGCCCCGGAAACGCGUUAGCGCCGCGGGCGGUACGCUCCAGCUUGCUGGAAAGAAACUUGGGGACAUCUGUGAAGACAGCACUAGGAAGGACCUGAAGAGAAGCAGUAAAGGAGGUGAAAGCAGCUCGCUCUGUUCUGGAAGAGAGUUUCUCCAAGGAGGUCUUAAAUUCAGCAGAGUAUCGGAAAAAGAUCAAGAUCGAAUAUUGUAGUUGGAUGUAGGAAGAAAAAGGUAAUGAAACUUAAAACUCAAAGUUUCAUGGAGCUACAAGAGGAAAACGGAGCCACCUGAAGCGUCGCCGGAGACCUGGGAGCUAGGGACAGCCCUGGGAGGAGGACGCAGCAUCCGCGAGGGGCUGCCUUUUUAAAAUUUUUCUCCUCAAGGGAAGUUGCCAUAGCCUUUUUGGUGGCAGAGAGAGGAAAAAGCCAGGUGAGAAAAAGACUUUGAAAACAGGAGAGGAGGUAGAAUGGUGGAUUAGGUCAUCUGGAGAAGGAAGGCGAAGAUAUCCAAUAUGCAGGCCUUGUUUGGUCUCUUUGAUUUGUGAGUUACCUGCUUUGUAUUCCUGGCUUGAGCCAUUGGGCCUAAAAACGCACAGGACCUGGAUAUUUUAACUGUCAGGAGGUUGGACUCGCAGUAGAGCGAUUGUAUUAAUAGGAAGACCUAAAGGCAGGAAUGCUGUGACUCAAUUAGGAGAAGGUGAAAGGCUGGAAGGAGCAUUUAUUCAUUGGACAAACUUUUGCCUCCAACUCUGAGGUGGAAAGAGAAGUGGCCUGUUCAGGAGAGCAAGGCCCAACGGAGCAGUCAGGCUUUGGAUGAAGAUCUGCAACUGUGAGUGGUGAUCAGGAACAAUGUGGAAGGGAUAUAAGUAUCCCCCGGGAGGGACCCCGCUGGAAACAAACAAAGAUGAUCCUGGUGAAGUAAUGCAGCUCUGAAGCUCACCUGACUGGCUGUACAGUUCGUUGUUGGUUUCACAUAAAGUAGUUGCACGUUAUUUUUGUCACAUUUUAUGUAAAAAUUCACCGUACUUUUUAAGAUAAAGAUUUGGUAUUCUGUUAGCUUGAAACAGGGAGAUGGAGGGUGGGGAGGUAGUCGGGGUGGAUGGGAGUGGUUGGGUCCCCUCUGUUUCAUAGUCCCUAAGACUGGUAUUAAGACUAAGAUACCCAGUUUGAUCUGUCCUCUAUUCUGUAUCCUUAAGGAUAGAAAUUCAAGAGCUCUUUAGACCUAUUUCCCAAGUAAUGUCUCUCUCCUGGGUCCAGGGUUGAAACAAUGUUCAAGGGCUAGAGAUUGCAGCAACUUUAAGCCUAUUCUUUGGGGGUAUUUCUCUGUGGCCUUUCCACAGCGAUUAAGAACCCAAAGCUUACACUGUGGGGGAAAGGACCUCAUUUUUAUACUGGGUGUUAGACAUUAAAUUUUACAUUAUUUUAACCCUUACAGAAACCUGAGUAGUAGCUUUAUUUUAUAAAAUGGCAAAAAUGAAGUUGAGUUUUAAGCACCUUACCAAACAGCUCUGAGUUGCAGUGAAGGUUAAGAUCCAGGCCUCUCCUUGGCAUGCUUUUAUGUGCCAAGGAAAAGGGCCAAAUGAGACUGGGAUAUCUAUCUUGGCUGCCUAUGGUUCAAAUGUCUCCCUCACCUGUAUAGCCAGAAAAGUUGCCUGAUCAUUCCUUUUGCACUGACUGCUGCUAAUACAGGUAGCAAGUGUAGAAACAAAAGCUGCUAGUCCUCACAAUGAUGCAGGUUGAGUUUAUGAGACCAAGGAUGGAAUCUAAGAUCUACGCAAUUAAGCUGGGUGUCUGAGCCCUAGGUUAUUCCUAAUAAGCCCUCUAGUCAUUUGGAGCUUUCCAGUCCUAAAGGCGGGUGGGGAAGGGAGGGACAAAUCUAACAGGAGUAAAUACAGUACUUCUAAAAUAAACUGAAUGACACUGUCCCUAUUCUGUGGCUGCUUGGGGAUGACUGAUACAGUGCCACUGUCCAGAAGUGCACCCUUAUAAGCCGAUCUUUUGGUUAUGUACACAUUUUGUUGACUAUUUGGUACAGGUUUGCCCAAGUAUUUAUAAGUGGCUCUAUGCGCUGAAUGGAUUACCCUUUUUAUUUUCUAUGAAAAAAAAAGUGAAUUCAAAGUCCUUAAGCAAAACUUUGUAAUCUCUCAAUCUAGGAUACUAGCAUCUCUUGUACUUCUUAUGACCUAGUCUCAACACAUUUCAUGAAGUGCCUGCAUUCUCUGGCUGCAUGGCUGUGCCCACUUGCCUCAUAUAUGUAUUCCUAAUGACUUAUCUUCGCAGCCAUCUCAGGCUCAGUUUAUCACAGGGGAUCAGAGCCCACUUCUCUUGAUAGGAAGUAUAUACCCAGUUCUUCUUCUUCCCUCCAGUUCAGAGUAUAGCUCCAAACAGUGCUAACCUGGUUGUCUUCAGUAAGCUGGUGGGGGAGGCGAGGGAUCAGUGGCAGGGGAUGUGUAGGGAUAAUGCACAGAGGCGUGUAAGGAGGCAAACCCAUCUCUG
Molecule: non-coding RNA, 2511 nt
Organism: Miniopterus natalensis
Lineage: Eukaryota; Metazoa; Chordata; Mammalia; Chiroptera; Miniopteridae
Source: RefSeq, a predicted model, not a curated record